CGGGGCGUGGCGCAGUCUGGUAGCGCACUUGCAUGGGGUGCAAGGGGUCGCGAGUUCGAAUCCCGCCGCCCCGACCA
This 77-nucleotide transfer RNA is filed under the name Sulfuritalea sp. RNAcentral's name for it is "tRNA-Pro". It matches the Rfam family "tRNA". From Rfam's summary of the family: Transfer RNA (tRNA) molecules are approximately 80 nucleotides in length. Their secondary structure includes four short double-helical elements and three loops (D, anti-codon, and T loops). Lineage: Bacteria; Pseudomonadati; Pseudomonadota; Betaproteobacteria; Nitrosomonadales; Sterolibacteriaceae. RNAcentral also lists the same sequence under 1 other name. The record is from RNAcentral.